UUCUUUUAUUUUGAUGAUCCUGUUUCCUACUUAGAUUUUAUGUGACUUUUAUUUUGACAUCAUACUAUCUGCUAACGUGAUUAAUCGCUCGCGCUCAUGCUCACAUUUGUUCAAUAGAAGACACGAGAAGCUAGCUAGCAACUUAAUAAUUUAAGCUAAUGGCGGCGGACUUCCCUGGAUUACCACUUUAUAGCACCCUUUGAUAUGCGGAGCGAGUUUUCAUGGUGUUGGUGUUGGUGUUGGUGCUAUGCACACUCAUCUGAAUUAAAGUACACCCGUCUGGAAACA
This is a non-coding RNA of Gasterosteus aculeatus aculeatus (three-spined stickleback), 288 nucleotides long. The record is from RefSeq and is a predicted model, not a curated record. Lineage: Eukaryota; Metazoa; Chordata; Actinopteri; Perciformes; Gasterosteidae.